Molecule: ribosomal RNA, 463 nt
Filed under: uncultured bacterium
Lineage: Bacteria
Description: bacterial SSU rRNA
Rfam family: Bacterial small subunit ribosomal RNA
Source: RNAcentral
CCAGACUCCUACGGGAGGCAGCAGUGGGGGCUAUUUCACAAUGGUUUCAACCCUGAUGCCGCUACGCCGCGUGAUUUAGGAAGUAUUUCUUUAUGUAAAGCUCUAUCAGCAGGGAAGAAAUACUGACCAUAGGGUCAGCAGACUGUACUUGACUAAGAAGCCCCGGCUAACUACGUGCCAGCAGCCGCGGUAAUACGUAGGGGGCAAGCGUUAUCCGGAUUCACUGGGUGUAAAGGGAGCGUAGACGGCGACGCAAGUCUGGAGUGAAAGCCCGGGGCCCAACCCCGGGACUGCUCUGGAAACUGCGUCGCUGGAGUACGGGAGGGGCAGGCGGAAUUCCUGGUGUAGCGGUGAAAUGCGUAGAUAUCAGGAGGAACACCGGCGGAGAAGGCGGCCUGCUGGACCGUGACUGACGUUGAGGCUCGAGAGCGUGGGGAGCAAACAGGAUUAGAUACCCCCGUAG